CCUACGGGGGGCAGCAGUGAGGAAUAUUGGUCAAUGGGCUUACGCCUGAACCAGCCAAGUCGCGUGAGGGAAGACUGCCCUAUGGGUUGUAAACCUCUUUUGUCAGGGAGCAACGCCGGCUACGUGUAGCCGGUCUGAGAGUACCUGAAGAUAAAGCAUCGGCUAACUCCGUGCCAGCAGCCGCGGUAAUACGGAGGAUGCGAGCGUUAUCCGGUUUUAUUGGGUUUAACGGGUGCGUAGGCGGAAUGCCAAGUCAGCGGUAAAGUCUGGGGGCUAAACCUCGCUUCGCCGUUGAAACUGGCGGUCGUGAGUGUGCGAGAAGUAUGCGGAAUGCGUGGUGUAGCGGUGAAAUGCAUAGAUAUCACGCAGAACUCCGAUUGCGAAGGCAGCAUACCGGCGCCCAACUGACGCUGAAGCACGAAAGCGUGGGUAUCGAACAGGAUUAGAUACCCUUGUAGUC
Molecule: ribosomal RNA, 460 nt
Filed under: uncultured bacterium
Lineage: Bacteria
Description: partial 16S ribosomal RNA
Rfam family: Bacterial small subunit ribosomal RNA
Source: RNAcentral